RNAcentral lists this ribosomal RNA (487 nucleotides) under uncultured bacterium. Its description in RNAcentral is "bacterial SSU rRNA". It matches the Rfam family "Bacterial small subunit ribosomal RNA", at positions 19 to 518 of the family's 1533-position model. The record is from RNAcentral.
AUGGCUCAGAACGAACGCUGGUGGCGUGUCUUAUACAUGCAAGUCGAGCGAGGCAGCAAUGCCGAGCGGCGAACGGGUGAGUAACGCGUAAGCAAUCUGCCCCAUAUCAGGAAAUACCCGUGCCAACGCGCGGUUAAUGUCCAGGAGAGUGGCCCUCUGCAUGGAGGGUUGACUAGAGAUUUAUCGGUAUGGGAUGAGCUUGCGUCCGAUUAGCUAGUUGGCGGGGCAACGGCCCACCAAGGCGACGAUCGGUAGCCGGCCUGAGAGGGUGAUCGGCCACAUUGGGACUGAGAUACGGCCCAGACUCCUACGGGAGGCAGCAGUAGGGAAUAUUGCACAAUGGGGGAAACCCUGAUGCAGCAACGCCACGUGUGGGAAGAAGCAUUUCGGUGUGUAAACCACUGUCAUGAGGGAAUAAGGCCCGCCUUCGGGCGGGAUUGAAUGUACCUUGAGAGGAAGCACCGGCAAACUUCGUGCCAGCCGCUGC